UCUCUAUUUCACUUAUUUCUGCUCUGAUCUUUAUGUUUUCUUUCCUUCUAUUAACUUUGGGUUUUGUUCGUUCUUAUUCCUCUAAUUGCUUUAGAUGUAAGGUUAGGUUGAGGAAAGAACCCCAUUUUAAAUAUCUAUGUGUGCAUCCCAGUAUCUAGAAUAUACCUUUCAUGCAGUGUUAUUUACUGAAAUGAAUUAAUGGGUACUGUUGGAUUAUGUGGUUCCUUUUCACAUUAAGGGGGAUUGGAAAACUAUAACAUCCCAAUCUCAUCCUCGCUAAUUAGAUAAAAAUUUGUGACUAAUUAUUUUUUGGCUAGAAAAACACCUCUGCCAUUUACAGAUCUGAGCCACCCCUAUCAAGGGCAAGAGCAGCACAUAAAGAGCACAUCUUUCCAAGGGACAGAUGACUGGAACCCUCCUAGGAAGUCCUGGCUGAGCAAGAUUGGAAGUCCUAGUUCUCGCAUUGACCGCACGAACUUUUCCAAUGAAAAAACCAUCUCUAAACUUGAAUACUCUAAUUUUAGUAUUCGAUACUAAUAGGAGAGAAAUUAAAAUUGUAAUGCUUAUACUGUACAAUAGAAUAGACUGUAUUCUUAAAUCUGUAUACUAGUGACAGUAGUAGAAUAGGGUAAAAAAAGAAACUUUCUGUUCCAAAAGCUGCAACAUUACGUUACUAAAAAUGGUUGACACUGAAAUAGUUUUACUCAACAAUGUUUUUAACAAGCCAAAUUUAGCAUUCUAAAAUUUUAAAUGUCAUUACAAAAUGUUUAAUAUGAAUAUUUUAUUUAAACUCGUCUCAUGGAAUCUUUAAUUCUAAUGAAUAUUAUGACAUACAUGUUAUUUGGCUGGACAUAAAAUAAUAAGUUAACCACUUAAAAAUUAUUUUUGGGUAUUAUCUGAAUUGAGUUCUAAAAUCUCUGAAUAAUAAUUUGUUGUUAAAGUUGAGUACUUCGUUUAACAAUAGCAAAAUAACCAGUAGUUUGAUAUAAAUGUAUAUGAUGAUCAGCAUAGCCUUAAAAUCAAUAAAGAGUUAACUUUAAACUCUGA
This is a non-coding RNA of Odocoileus virginianus texanus, 1047 nucleotides long. Lineage: Eukaryota; Metazoa; Chordata; Mammalia; Artiodactyla; Cervidae. The record is from RefSeq and is a predicted model, not a curated record.